This 503-nucleotide ribosomal RNA is filed under the name uncultured bacterium. Its description in RNAcentral is "partial 16S ribosomal RNA". It matches the Rfam family "Bacterial small subunit ribosomal RNA", at positions 30 to 523 of the family's 1533-position model. The record is from RNAcentral.
AUUGAACGCUGGCGGCAGGCUUAACACAUGCAAGUCGAGCGGGGUGAUGGUGCUUGCACUAUCACUUAGCGGCGGACGGGUGAGUAAUGCUUAGGAAUCUGCCUAUUAGUGGGGGACAACAUCGCGAAAGGGAUGCUAAUACCGCAUACGUCCUGCGGGAGAAAGAAGGGGAUCACUUGUGACCUUGCGCUAAUAGAUGAGCGUAAGUCGGAUUAGCUAGUGGGUGGGGUAAAGGCCUACAAAGGCGACGAUCGGUAGCGGGUCUGAGAGGCGGAUCCGCCACACUGGGACUGAGACACGGCCCAGGCUCCUACGGGAGGCAGCAGUGGGGAAUAUUGGACAAUGGGGGGAACCCUGAUCCAGCCAUGCCGCGUGUGUGAAGAAGGCCUUAUGGUUGUAAAGCACUUUAAGCGAGGAGGAGGCUCUUUUGGUUAAUACCCAAGAUGAGUGGACGUUACUCGCAGAAUAAGCACCGGCUAACUCUGUGCCAGCCGCCGCGGUAA